This 15565-nucleotide long non-coding RNA is filed under the name Lathyrus oleraceus (garden pea). RNAcentral describes it as "Pisum sativum (pea) long non-coding RNA (PSAT_LNC004190)". Lineage: Eukaryota; Viridiplantae; Streptophyta; Magnoliopsida; Fabales; Fabaceae. The record is from RNAcentral.
UAGUAAUAAUAAAUCGUUAAUAAAUGAAACAUGAAAGUAGUACAUACCACACGUCUUUGAGAACUUGGUCGUGUUGCAUGAGAAAGAAAGAAAUCAUGGAGGCACCAUCUUCAUCUUUAUUAUUAUUUUCGACAAAGUAUUUAGCUAAAGGGUGAACACCAUACAAUCUUUCUUCAUUACAAUUUCCAUCAACUUCUUCAACGGAGCAUGUAAGAAUUUUGUAGCUAGCCAAAAGACGCAACAAUCUAUCCAACAUAGAAGGUGCAUCUGGAUUUUUUAUACCAGGAAUUUGAGAAGCAAUUUGAGAAGAUGAAAGGUAUGCAUUAGGACCAGCUUUGCUAUAACUUCAAUGAUGCCAAGUUCCAAAACUGUUUUUAGAACCAUUGGAACAGAAGAAGCAAAUGAUAGUUCCAUAGCAAAAAGAAGCUUCUUCAUCUGAUACUUUCUCCAUUUUCUCAAUUACUCCUAUAUGCAUAUGAUAUAUACUGUGAUGAUGUGCUUUCCUCUACUUUUUAAUAUAUAUAUAUAUAUAUUUAUAAUUAUAUUAUUAUAUAUAUAUAUAUAUAUAUAUAUAUAUAUAUAUUAUAUUAUAAUAUCACAUACUUGAUAUGGCUACUCCUAUUCAAUUCAAAUUCACUGCUAUCUAUUACUAUCAAUUAUAUAUAUAUAUAUAUAUAAUAUAUAUAUAUAUAUAUAUUAGAUAUAGAUAUAUAUCACAUACUUGAUAUGGCUACUCCUUAUUCAAUUCUAUCACUACUGCUAUCUAUUACUAUCAUAUAUAUAUAAUAUAUAUAUAUAUAUAUAUAUAUAUAAUAUUAUAUAUAGAUAUAAAAUCAUUAAUCACUACUUGAUAUGGCUACUCCUAUCAAUUCAAUUCACUGCUAUCUAUUACUAUCAUAUAUAAUAUAUAUAUAUUUAUAUAUAUAUUAUAUAUAUAUAUAUAUAUUACUUAUAUAUUAUAUAUAUAUAUGAUAUAGAUAUAUAGAUAUAGAUAUAUAUCACAUACUUGAUAUGGCUACUCCUAUCAAUUCAAUUCACUGCUAUCUAUUACUAUUAGAACCUACUUAUUUAAUUCAUAGCACUCAACCACUUUUUUCCAUUUACUUUUAGGAGCAUGGCAGUUGGAUGAAUGAUUAAUACCAUGGCAGUUGGUCAUAUGACAUGGUAACAACUUGCAUAGGAUGUUACAAUAUUUACAAAUGACAAUUUGUCAAUAUAUCAUCAUUUCUAAAUUUCUAACCGGAAGAAAUUUUAAUAAUAAUACUCUUUCAAGAAUUCAAAACAAAAUUAGAAUCAAAUAUAUACUCCAUCAUCCUCAUAAAAAAUCUUUUAUUUGAAUAAUAUGUUAUUUUUAAAAAAAUAUUAAUUGUGUUGAUUUUAAUGAUAAAAUUGAUAUUAUUUAUUAAAAUAUUUUUACUAAUGAUAAUUAAUAAAAUAGUUGAAUAAAGUAAAAAUUAAUUACAUAUAGAGAGAGAGAGAGAGUAAUGGAAACAUAAAUAGACAUUUUAACAGAAAAAAAAUGUAAAUAAGACAAUUAACUAAAAUAAUAAUUAUUGCUAUUACAAGUAAGAAAUAAAGGGUAAGAGUAGCUUGAUGAAUUCAUGAUAAGAUUAAUCAAAGAAGUGAGAUGUGACUUAUCUAUAUCUGUGACAAGAAAAUCACACCGUUGCUACAUAUGAAAUCAGAUAUUCAAGUAACAUAUUAGUAUUAUUUUAUUUUUUAAGAAGGUGGUCCAAGACCACCAUAAAAUAUAUUAGAAAAAAAAUAUAGAUGCAGAAAUAAAAAUAAGGGGAUCAAACCAAAAUCUUUAAGUGUCAAACUCUAUAGGAAGCAAGAUUUAUGGAAUUCUUAGAAAAUCCAUAAGAAUGUAUACAUGAACUUCAUCCCAUCAAGUAAAAUCAUGUACAUGUAAAUCUAUGUUAGCAAGUUUCUCCGUGCAAUUAUUACCUUCCCUAAAGAUAUGAGUUACCAAAAAAUGAAUGGACUUAAUAUGAUGCAAAAUAUUUUGUCACUUGUUUUGAAGUCUCCACAAAACCAUAGAAGGUUUUUCGAACGCAAGAAUAACCAACUUCGAGUCAGUUUCUAAUCAAAGAUGAUUCUAGUUUUUCUAUUUCACAAUCUCAAUAGCCAUCAUAUCAGCCAUAAGUUAUGCCAUGAGGGAAUUCCCUACCCCAAUAUUCAUUGAGAAGCUACCAAGAUGAUUACCACUAUGAUCCCUGUAAAUAUCACCACAGGAAGCAACAUCCAAAACUCCCACAGAGGCACCAUCAGUAUUACAUUUCACUCAGUUCAGAAUAUGAGGGUGCCAUAUAAACUAUUUAACUAUACAAGACUUAGGAGGAUUCAACUUCACAUUGAAGUCAUUACGAAUAUUGAAAUCCAACAUAGAGAUAGAACCAGUUUUGAGAGAAGCAUUACCAGCGCGAGAGAAACCUCCGCAAUAAUGGAAUUGAAUGUCGUCUUCCAAUGAGUUCUGAUGUUGUUAAACCUGAGUAUGUUCCUAGCUUGCCAAAUAACAAUAAAAAUAUUUAUAAUAACUGCCAACACAACCAACUUGCCCUGAGCUUAAAAAUGGUCGUUCAACGCCGCCUACCAAUUAUCAAUGGUCCGGAUAUCAUGAGACAAGAUAGAAAAAUAUAUGAUCAGAACUCUCUAUGUGAACUGAUUCGCUGUCGCACGCGGAUCAAAACGAAUAGUUUUUCAAAAAUGUAGUUUAACGAUAAAUUGACUCAAAUAUCGUUCUCAAGGAUUCUUGUUUAAUUAAUCUACCGAUAGAAAAAAAAGGGCGGGGGNGGGGGGGGUUGGUUUAGAUUCGAAAAAGUGAUUUUUAAAAGUGAUUAUAAAAUAAGCUGACACGAACCAACCUACUGCAUCAUCUUCCGACUUAUCAUUGAUUCUUAUAAAACUCCAAAUCCCUAACGGGUCUGCUCCUAUUCGAUUACAAUUACCAUUAACAAGCGUAAAGGAAAUUAUGCGAGUAAUAUUCUCAAAUUCUGAAUUAAGCAAACGGAUUAAAAACUAUUGCGAAUUAAGCAGACGCAACUUGAUCGUUCGUGAUAAAAUAAAAGCUAUGUUAACACGAAAUUGAUUCGUGAGCUCGUUUUUUUCGAGAUGCGACACAUAUCACACUCUAUCUAGAAAAAAAAUGUUUUUUGAGUGUAUGUAUGGUUACAAAGUUUCCAGUGAUACUCAUCAAAUACCAAGAAUCUUGUAUCAAUGAAAUAUAUCAAGUUAAAUGACUUAUAAUCUAAUGAUUGUCAUGUAUUGAUGCAAUAACUCCACUAGUAACUAUCCGUGACAUCUUAACAAAAAAAAUGUAAGGAUAACUAUAACCAGAUUGUACUUAUUCUUUAAUAUUAUAUGUAAUGAAGUAUUUGAUCCCAAAAAAUAGAUGAGUUGGAAUAUGAUGUUACAAUAAUAUCAUGUCAAUUGGAGAUAUAUUUCCCUCCAUCAUAUUUUGACAUUAUAGUUCACUUAAUUAUUCAUCUAGUUAUGGAAAUCAGAUUUUGUGGUCCCGUUUAUUUAAGAUGGAUAUAUCCAAUAGAGAGAUACAUGAAGAUCUUUAAAGGGUAUAUGAAGAAUCAUCAUUGUCCAGAAGUUUCAAUCACUGAACGAUACAUCAUAGAAGAAGCUGUUGAGUUAUGUUCAAACUAUUUAUUAAAAAUAGACUCUAUAGAAAUUUCAAAGUCUCGUCAUGAUGGAAAAUAUGAAGGCAGAAGUACUCAGUGUUUAAAUGUUAAGUCAAUGGAAAAAUAUGUAGUUCUUCAAGAACAUUUGUAUAUUUAAUAAUUUUGAUGAAGUUCAACCUUCCUCAUCUUCUCACAAAAGACUUAUAAAGGAAAAAAUUUCUCAAAUGAGUGACAAGUGGUUACUGAAAGAGCAUAACAAGAGUUUUAUAAAUUGGUUCAGUAAAAGAAUUUCUAAUGAUGGAAGUGCAUUUGAGACAAUUAAAUGGAUGUUAUACAUGCCUAAAUUUAAUGUAGUAACAGACUUCAUACGACAUUAGUAAACUUUUAUUUUAUACAAAAUCAAAGGAUGAUUAUAAUGCAAUGCAAAAUAGUGGAGUUAUGGUUGAGGUUGAAUUAAUGUACUUCUCUAGUUUCAAAGUUGAUAAUCCUAUAAUGACAUCUAAACCGUGCUUUGGGGUCAUUUAGGAGAUUUGAGAGAUUGAUUAUGUUCUAUUCAAAGUGCCUUUGUUUAAACGCAAGUGGAUUGACAGUAACACCGGUGUAAAAAGUGACGAGUUAAGAUUCACAUGGGUUGAUCUUCGUAAGACAGUUUAUACGAAGGAACCAUUCAUCAUGGCAUCCCAAGUAAAACAAGUAUUUUAUGUCACUGAAAUUUCUGACAAAAGAUGGUCAACUAUUCUCCAAGGAAAAUACAUUCCUCAUAGUGAUAAAAAUCAAGAUUUAAAUUUUGAUAUUUCUGAUACCCCUUCUUUCGCAACACAUGUACCUCUUCAUAUGAAGAAAUUGAUACAUAUGAAGUACAUGUUAUUCGUUAUGGUAAUGAUCAUAAUAAUUGUCAUUUUGGUUUUGAUUCUAUAUGUUAUGUUGUUGUGUUUCUAUAUAUCUGUUUUUAUUCAUAAAAAUAUAGGUUAUAAUGAGAUUUAUGUAAAAUAAAAAAAAAUAUUUUAAAAAUAAUAUAUUUCACCACAGUUUUUUCUUCCACAGUAGAGAAGCAUCUAAAAAGCACCAUUUAAAAAAAUGUAAAAAUUAUGAUGUUGGGUAUCGAACAUGACCUUUCCAUAUUUCACUACGGUUGGGUAAUCCAACUGUCGUGUAAAGUGGUUUGCUAUCAGUAGAGAAGCAUCUAAAAAGCACCAUUUAAAAAAAUGUAAAAAUUAUGAUGUUGGGUAUCGAACAUGACCUUUCCAUAUUUCACUACGGUUGGGUAAUCCAACUGUCGUGUAAAGUGGUUUGCUAUCUAGUUUUUUUUUACCACGGUUAAUGCUGGAAAUUAAUUCACUUUCUAUGACACCCUUCGUUAUCAUAGACCAUCAACCAUUGUGAAAUCAUUAUUAGUAUUGAUCUAAUCUUGCUCUGAGAUAGCAUCUUCAACUACAAGCAAGGAGUUCACAUUAGCUUUGAUCCUAAGAACAUACUCAGUAAUGGGUCUAAUUGCCUUUCUUCAUCACUUUCAACUCAAUUCUAAAUUGUCUAACUUACGCCUUUAUAUGAGCAUUAAAGUAUCUGUCAAUUUUGUUCCAUACAUCAAAUAUAUACUUGCAUGACAAGAAUCUAGCUAGCAUUGAUUCUGAAAUUACAGAAAGAAACCAUAUGAACACAACUUCAUCCUGCAUUAUCCAAGACUUGUACUUCUUAGAGCUUUUACUUCGACUUUCUUUGUUUUCUCUUUUCCACCAGAGGUAUAAGACAACAUGGUAACAUCCAUUUGAAACACAGAUUUUGAGGAUAAGUUUGAGUUUGGAAUUACUGGAACUAUGGAUUCAACUACUAUCACCUUUCCAAUGACCGGAAGUGAAUCAUAACAAUUCUUCAAAAUUUUCAAACAUUGCUCUUCAUUCCAAUCAUGACAAAUCGACUGUAUUCCAAACAUAUUUUUAGUUUUUUUCUUCUCAAGAUACUUAUAUCUUAGAAACAUGAUAGAAAACAAAAUAACAAGCUUCAAAAUAAUAAGAUCAUCACCUUCAUGAAAAUGGCAUCAGCUUUUGGAACACUCACAAACAUGUCUCCACCAACAUGCUCCACACCUUCAUUAAACACCCAUCACUUAUUAACAAUAAUACAGACAUGAAUUCAAAUGCUAAAGAGAAAAAAUAUUGUUGGUGAAUUUCCAAAAAUCUCAUUAACUCUGUACUUUUAUAAAAAGUUUCAUAAUAUUUUUUUAUUAUAUAAUUAUUAUCAUUUUUUUAAUAUAUAUAAAAAGUUUAAAAAAUUUAUAUUAAAAACAAAAGGGAAUAUAAUAUAUAAUUAAAAUAUAAUAGAUUGUUUAUAUCGGUAAGAGUAUAAUUGGUUAAUAUGGUGUAAAAAUAUUAUAAUAUAUAUAAAAUAGUAUAAUAUUUAAAUAAAAUUUCAAUUAUACGUAAAAUUAUUGGGAAAAAUCCAAAUUUCACAUUUGAUUUAAAGUCGAUUUCGAAGGGAUGAGUUAGGGUAAAAUUCUAAUUCUAUAAGAAAUUAUAAAAUGACGACGUAUAUUAAUUAAUUAAUUUUUAAUAUUAUUUAUACUGUCUCCACAGUAAAAUAUAAUUGAAUAUGGUUGUAUGAUUUAUGUCAAUAUUUUCAAAGUAUUCUUAAUGGAAUUCGCAAAUUUACUCAUUUUGCAUCCAAUAUAUGCAAGUUAGAGGAGAAGAACUGAACCUAAAACUUUUUAUUACCUUACCUUUUUCAUAUAUUUUCUAAACACCUAGUGCUUGCAAUCAUGAUUUUAAAUUGCAGUCUGCGACUGUAAUAUUGUUGAUUCAGAAGCUUCAAGUAGUUUCCGCAAUUGCAUGUUUGGACCAUUAUUAGAAAUCACAUCAGAAACUUUAUUCAUGUUUCUCUAAAUAUUUUUGUUAAAACUCAAAAUUUCAGAAUUCAAAAUUCAAUUUUCUUCCUAUAUAAUAAAAUAUCUUAACAUCAAUAAUUUUUAACGAUGUAUUUCAAAUAUCUUUUAAUAAAAACUUCACACAUGUGCUUUUCAAUAACCACAAUCACAAUAUUUACAACUGCUAUUGUAAUCACAUUUUAAAAUCAUUCUUGCAAUUUUAAGGAUGAAAGAUAGACUCAAAUUUGUUUGGUCAACACUAUGAAUGUAUAACCUUCAUCUAUAUUUUCAAAUAAAGACGAACCUGGAUGAGAAGGAGCUUCAUUGAUAACAUGUGGCAAGUCAAAGUUAAUGGCUUUAAUGUUGGGAUACUUAGAGACAAUCAUAUUAGCAAUAGUUCCAAUCCCACCACCAACAUCAACAAUAGAUCCAAGACCCUCAAAACCUGAAUAUGUCACCAGAAUAUUUUUCAUUAUGAUGCAAGAGCGAUCAGACAUGGCAUUAUUGAAAAGCUUGUUGAUCCUUGGAUUUAUGCCAUGAAACUCAAAAGUAUUCAUUCCAAAAGUGUUGUUAAAUGGAAUUCCACCCUCUUUAAUUGAAUUUGUUAAGUGGUACCUACAAUUACAAAAAUAUAAUAUAAAAAGAUCUAUGUUAAAAGGAUACAUUACGGGAGAUAUAUGUUUUAAGUAGGGGUGGCAAACGGGCAUACCCGCCCCGUUUAGGCCCGCCCCGCAAAAACCCGCAAAAAAACGGGGCAGGGCGGGGCGGUCAUAGUUGAGGAUGCGGGCCUAAAACUUAGACCCGCCCCGCAAAAAAGUGAGGGCGGGGCGGGGAAAGCCCGCGGGCACUGCACUCUUUAAGCCUAAAAACGCAAAAAUUUAUGUAAAUACACGUGCCCGCAAAAGCCCGCGAAAAAAACGGGGCGGGGCGGGGCAGACACAUUUGAGGGUGGGGACCUAAAUCCUUGGCCCUCCCCGCACAAAAGUGCGGGCAAAACGGGCAUGCCCCGCGGGCCGAGCCCGUUUUGCCACCCCUAGUUUUAAGUCACUUUUAAAAAAUAGUUUUAUAGUUAUUAAAAAUUAAGUACUUCAACAUAAUUUGUUAAUAUGUGAUAUCUUUGUCUAAAAUCAUAAUUUUUUAGUGAAUAAUUUUUUGCAACUAAGAAUGUGUUAGCUCGAGAGACUAAGGAAAUGAGGUGGACUCCUCCUUCGAGUUAGGUGAGACUAAACACAGAUGGAGUUAGUACGAAUGACUUGAAAGCUGGAUGUGGUAGUCUUGUAAGAGAUUGUACGCUUGAAUAGCUUGGAGGCUUCGAGAAAUAUUUAGGUUCUUGUCGUGCAUAUAGUGAUGAACUUUGGGGUGUGCUAGAAAGAUUAAGAUUGAGAAAAGAGCUUGAGUUUCGAACUAUUGAGCUUCACAUAUAUUCCAAAGUAGUUGUUCAAAAUAUUUUAGAUUCUGAACAGGAUAGUAUAAUUGAAAUGCAAUUGGUACAACAAAUUUAAUAGUUGUUCAAACUAGGUUGGGAGGUGCGUGUUUGUCAUAUUUAUUAUGAGUCGAAUACUUGUGUAAAUACAUUUGUCAACAUGAGGUGUGAUCUAGGACUUAAUUUGAUGAUUUAUGAGCAAUUUUCUGUUUAAAUUUUUCAUACAUUCUUAACUGAUUGUAUUGGAGUCUUCAUUGUUAUGUUAAUUGUUGUGUAAUUUUUUUCUUUGAGUUUCAACCCUCUUUCUCUCAAAAUAAAAAAAAUAGAUGUUAUUAUUAAAUUAACAUUUUAUUAUUAGAGUUUGAUUUAUUUUAAAUAUACCAAUUUGUAAAGGAAAAGAUGUGACUCAAUUUUUAACUUUAAUUUUAGGACUUAAGUAUUCAAAAAGAGACCUAUUUUUUAUACAAUACACUUGGAUUAACACAUUAUAGACUAAUUUGUUCUCUAGAAUCUAGAAGAAUGAUGAAUGUGGGUUCUAGAAAUUUUAAGUUGUGGAGGCGUCGUAUUAAUUUAUGAAUUUAUAGCAUAAAAUAUUUAUCUUUUAUUUUUUUAAAACAAAAAUAUAUAUCGUAUUUAUUUUUUAUGAGAUAUACUUUUUAUAAUAUUUAAUAAUUUUAUCGAUUUUUAAUUUCUAUAAUUAUCACAAUUUUUUUAUAAUGUCUCUGUGUGGAACAUAUGAUCAAAUUAAAGAAUAUUUUAGAGUGUCUCGUCAUAAACACAACUAUAUCACUAAACUUGAAAUUACUUACAACAUUAUACAUAUCAAAUUCAUCACUUCUAAACAUCUAGAGUAUCAUAUCAAUGGCUGACACAUGAAUGUAGGGUCAGUCAUAAAUUAUGUUUUCAUUUGGCAUUCUAGACUAUGUCAAGCUAAUGACAGAGUUAUUCAUUAAAACUAUGUCAAGCUCCAUGACAAGUUUUCACUGAAUCAACACCCUAAGUAUUUUCUUGGCAUUCAGGUGCAUUAUCAAUCAAAUGGCUAUGGAUUGAAUCACUCUUAACUGAGUUGCACGCCAACUUAAUUUCUUACACCAACUUUGAUGCGCGACAAUUUCAAUGCAGUCAUGUUGUCUCACAAUCCCAUAUUACAUGCUAGGAAAAAAUACAUAGAACUUAAAUCCACUUUAUUUGUGAGAGGGUUGUUACUAGCAUGUUUAAUAUUCAGCAUGCACCAAGAAUUUGUGGGAGAGUUUUAGAGAUAAUUAUUAGAGAUAAGGUUUAUCAUAACCACUUUUAUAAUCUAUUAUUUAAGCUGUUAUUUCUUUUUCCAUUUUAUCUCUUAUAUUAGUUAGUUUGUUAUUAUUUCUUAGAUCCAAUAGCUUAUAUAAACAACCAAUUGUAACCUUUAUUUAUGAGUAAUAUAGAUGAAUAAAUCUCUAUAGUUAAUCUUCAAUAUGGCAUCAGAGCACGAAGAUUCUGAUGAUGAUCAAUCUGAGCAAGAACCUCAAUCCACCAUCAUCCUACCCAACCCUACAUACACUCUAAAUAAUUCGGAUAACCCAGGAACCCCUCUUGUUUCUUCAACCUUGAAUGACAAUAAUUACCGUACAUGGCUUCGAACCAUGAAAACUGCUCGGUUUCGUUGAUGGUUCUAUCAAGAAACCUACCUGUAAUUCUGCAGAUUUUUUCAGUUGGGAGAAAGCAGAUUACAUGAUCAUGGCAUGGAUUAUCAAUGCGAUCGAUCCAAAUCUGCAUGGAAGCAUCUCACACGCAUCAACUGCCUGCGAAAUUUGGAUUGAUCUUGAAGAAAGAUUUGCCCAGAUCAACGCACCACACAUUCAUCAGUUAUGGCGCACCAUAUGGCUUCUGCAGAAAGAUUCUGACAUGAGUAUAACAAAAUAUUACACCAAAUUCAAGAGCCUUUUCGAUGAACUUGAUGAACUCCAACCAAUAUCGGAGUGCAACUGUGGAGCCUCCAAACCUUUAACCAAAAGAGACGAUGAACAAUGUGUGCAUCUAUUUCUUGGUGGUCUUGUCAACGAUCAAUUUGUUCAAAUCAAUGGCAUCAUCCUCAACUCCGAUCCUCUCCCACCGUUGCGAUGCGUUUUCAAUAUUAUACAACGAUAGGAAUCACGGUUAACAACUGAUACAACAAGAAGCGUUAACACCAAUACAGAUUCAUCUUUUCACUCUUCCAAACAUGACAAAUCAAAAUGGCGCGAAUACCCGAAAGUCAAGUGUGAUCAUUAUGGUAAAAAUGGUCAUGUCAAAGAAAAAUUCUUUGAAAUUGUCGACUAUCCUGCACAUUGGGAAGCCAGAAGAACUCCAAGAAGAGGUCACAGAGCAUUAGUUGAAAAACGUGAUGUUGCAGAAGGUUCAACAUCAGGGCAUGCUUUACAUGGCACUCGCAAACAAAUACCCAGUUCCUCCUCUCGGUAACAUGAGCGGUAAGGUACAUGCAACUCAUACAUGGAUACUUGAUAGUGGUGCAUCUUAUCACAUGACUUAUUUACCAUCUAUUUUGCAUAAUAUUUAGAAACUUCCAAAGUCUUUCCAAAUCAUUACUCCCACUGGAACAUCCAGCCUUGUUGAUUGCAUAGAUGUAUUUUGUUUCCCUAAUUUCAUACUACAUAAUGUGCUUAUGGUUCCUUCAUUCAACUGCAACUUAAUUUCCAUUCAUAGAUUGAGUCGUGAUCUAUCUUAUACGGUAACUUAUGACCAAAAUUGUUGCAUAAUCCAGGACCCUCUAACAAAGAAGAAGAUUGGAUUCGGUAGCAUUUAUGAAGGUGUCUAUUUGUUGACAAAGUCAUCUCAACAUGGAUUCUUAGGGGCAGCUAAGAAAUACUUAACUACUUUGUGGUACACUAGAAUGGGACACCAUUCUCCUCAAGCUUUACAACAAAUUUCGCAUCACCUUAAAUGUACUUUUGACUCACAUAAAUCAGUCUGUUGUGAUAUAUGUCAUAAAGCAAAACAAUGUAGAAACUCAUUUCCUUCUAGUAAUAAUAAAGCUACUGCAACUUUUGAUUUGAUCCAUUGUGAUCUUUGGGGUAAAUACAAUACUGCUACACAUAAUGGAGCACAAUAUUUUCUCACAAUUAUUGAUGAUUACACUAUAUACCUAAUGAAAUAAAAAACUGAAACACUGCAUCACUUGACUACUUUCUAUAAUCUGAUCAAGUGAUAAUUCAAUAAAACUAUCAAGAAAAUCCGCAGCGACAAUGGUACAAAAUUUGUUAACUCCAAAUUCUUAAAUUUCAUUCACCAAGAGGGCAUAAUUCAUGAAACUUCUUGUGUUUAUGCCCCACAAAAAAAUGGACGCGUAGAACGUAAAUAUAGACAUAUAUUGAAUAUAGCGUGAGCAUUACAUUUUCAAGCUAACCUUCCACUACACUUUUGGGGUGACUGCAUUUUGACUGCAACAUACUUAAUCAAUCGUACCCCUACUGUUGCUAAUAAAGGUCUCACUCCCUAUGAGCUUCUUUGCGAAAAGGCACCCAAUAUGAUCAUCUACGCAAUUUUGGAUGUUUAUGCUACAUGAAGAAUAUCUCCAAACAACUAGACAAAUUUGAUCCACGAGCUGACAAAUGUUUAUUCCUUGGAUAUCCACAAGGACAAAAAGGCUGGAAAGUUUAUAAUCUUCAAACUCAUACUUUCCAUAUAUCACAAGACAUCUUAUUCUAUGAGGAUACUUAUCCCUUCCUUCAAGCAUCAAACCCAUCUUCCACCAACCUGUUCACAAUUCUGCAAAAUACGAUAGUGAUGAAGAACCACAAAUUAAUUUGGUUCCAUCUCUUGCAGAUAUUCCUCCUAUCAGUUCACAAGAACUUAACAAUGCAUCGAUAAAUCCUGACACUCCUUCUGUUGACAAUUUGCACCAGGACCAUGCAAAUCACUCACCAGAAUCAUCUAGUAACACUCAUGUAAAAGAUGAUCAUAAUCCAACCAACCCAAUUUCAGCUUCGCAAAUUUCAUCCAAUGAGCAUGAUGCGACUGAGGAGGAGCAGAAUGAGGACCAUAAUCAUGCUGCAAUAGAAUUACCACCAAGAAUACAACAACCAUCACAACACCUCAAAGAAUUCUAUUGCUACAAUGUGCAUCCUAAUAUCAAAUGUCCUAUUUCAGAUUUUGUCCAAUAUGACAACUUCUCCCAGAAUCACAAAGCUUAUCUUGCAGCAAUUAGUAACACUGAAGAACCUUCAUCAUACAUUCAGGCAAGUAAACUGCAAGUGUGGAGAGAUGUCAUGGCUCAAUAACUUCAAGCAUUGGCAGGCAAUCAAACAUGGGAACUGACCACUCUUCCACCUAACAAAAAAUUAAUAGACUGCCGAUGGGUGUACAAGAUUAAGCACAAAGUUAUGGGAGAAAUUGAGAAGCAUAAAACUUGUUUGGUUGCAAAAGGAUUUACUCAAACUGAAGGAGAGGACAUCCAUGAAACCUUUGAACCCGUUGCAAAAAUGACAAUCGUUUGAUGCUUACUAACUGUUGCAGCCACCAAACAAUGGAUCCUCCAUCAAAUGGAUGUUAGCAAUCCUUUCCUUCAUGGAAAUUUAGAUGAAGAUGUCUAUAUGAAAUCUUCAGAAGGCACAAAACUACACAUCCUAAUAUGGUGUGCCAGUUGAAGAAGUCAUUGUACGGGUUACGCCAAGCCUCUCAAAACUGGUAUUCCAAAUUAUCAAAAGCUUUGAUUGACUAUGGUUUCCAGGAGAGCCAUGUUGAUCACAGCCUCUUCACGUACGCCAAACCAUCCAUUUUCAUAGAUGUCGUCGUUUACGUUGAUGACUUAAUCAUUGCUGGAAACCAUGAAGAAGCUUGUGCUAAAUUCAAGCACCACUUAAGUCAAUGUUUUCAUAUGAAAGAUCUUGGAAAACUUAAGUACUUCCUCGGUAUCGAACUAGCACACGUCCAAGAAGGUUUGUUUAUUUGUCGACGAAAAUAUACAUUUGAUAUUCUCAUUGAAUGUGGCAUGCUUGGUUCCAAGCCUUCUUCAUUCCCCAUGGAGGCCAAUCACAAACUUGCCUUGGCUAAUGGAUCACCCUACUCUGAUCCGUUAAAAUAUAGACAACUCAUUGGUCGUCUCACUUACCUCACAGUCACAAGGCCAGAAUUAACAUACUUUGUCCAUGUGCUAAGCUAAUUCAUGCAAACACCCCUCCAAGAUCAUUAGGACGCAACCAUGAGAGUCCUUUGAUACCUUAAAUCCUCCCUAGGUGAAGGCAUCGUCUUACCUAAAAAUAAUGACCUCCAACUAGUUGUCUUUUGUGAUUCGAAUUGGGUAUCAUAUCCCAUAACAUGAAAAUCUACAUCAGGAUAUUUGUUGAAACUUGGAAACGCCCCCAUUUCAUAAAAAACAAAGAAACAAGUGAUUAUCUCUUGCUCCUUUAGUGAAGCUGAAUAUAGAGCCAUGACACAUGCUACAAGUGAAAUUAUUUGGCUUCGCAACUUAUUGCAUACUCUUCAAGUCCCUUGCACACAUCCUACUCCCUUAUAUUGUGAUAAUCAAGCAGUCAUUCAUUUAGCCGCCAAUCCUAUCUUUCACGAAAGAACUAAACACAUUGAAGUCGAUUUCCAUUUCAUCAGAGAUCGUAUCCAAUCAGGCACCAUCAGUACGACUCAUGUUUCAACUCAGCACCAAUAAGCUGACAUAUUCACCAAAUCUUUAGGAACUAAGAUUUUCCAUGACUUGUUGUCCAAGUUAGGAGUUCAUAAUCCUCAAUAUCCAACUUGAGGGGGAGUAUUAGAGAUAAGGUUUAUCAUAACCACUUUUAUAGACUAUUAUUUAGGGUGUUAUUUCUUUUCCUCAUUUAUCUCUUAUGUUAGUCAGUUUCUUACUAUUUCUUAGGUCCAAUAGCUUAUAUAAACAAGCAAUUGUAACGUUUAUUUCAUGAGUAAUAUAGAUGAAUAAAUCUCUAUAGUUAAUCUUCAAUAAUAAUAAAAGAAGUGAAACUACUUUAAAAUAUUAGUUAGGAUUAAUUAAAAGUUAAUAGAAAAGUUAGUUAAAAUAACUAACUCUUCACACCAUAUAUACAUAUUAACCAAUCUACUUGGUUAGGGGUGGACAAAAAACCUGAAAAAUCAUUUAAAUUCACAAAAACCAAAUUUAAUAUUGGUUAAAUGGGCGGGUCGGGUCGGUCUGUGGGUAAUUAGGUUGUCUAAAUCGGUUUCAAAUAGAUUAAAACAGAUGGGUGCGGAUUCAAAUCUUAGACCCAAUGGUAGCCAAAGCCAUUCGGAAAUGCAUACAUAUUCAUUACUCACUUUAUCUCAUAAUAAGUGUUUUAUUUGAGUUCUACGUGAUUCUUAAGAAAAUGAUUAAAUAUAUUUAUUUUAAUGAUAAAAUUAAUAUUAUUUAUUAAAAUAUUCUUAUUUAAUAUAAUUAGUAAAAUAAUUAAAAAGCAUGAUAAAUAAAGAUGUAAUAAUAAAAAAAAUUAAUAAAUAUUAUAUUCAUAUUCUAAAAAAAUAUUUAUUUUAAUAUAUAAAAAAUAAUAUAAAUAAAACACUUUUUUAUAAGACGGAAAAAUACUUUCAUAAUUAGAUGUCCAUAAAUUCUCAAUAUUCAAGAAAUGAUAAAUUAUUGGAGUAUUUACUUCUCAGAAUCAAUCACCAUGCUUUUUCUUUAUAUAACAGUUUUACGGUGACCAUUCCCAUCCGCUAAUAUAUUUAUUUUUUAAUAAGUAAUAAUUUAAUUGUAUUGGAUAGGAUAGUUUAGCUGAUACUUUUAUCUUUAAAUAAUAUAAUAAUUAAUGUAUAUAAAACAUUUAUGAGAAGUAAUCAAUUUAAAAUGGAUAUUUAAUGAUAAUGUUAGUAAUAAUAAUAUCGUUAAUAAUAAUAAAAACUUAAAUCAAAAUAAAUAAUGGAAUACUUUCUUAGAAAAACUCUUUCAAUUGUCAACACACCUUCACUACUUUAUUUAUGAGGAUUGCUAUUCUAACUCAAAAACUUUUACACCAUAUAAAAUACAAUCAGACAUGUGUUCAUUUGUAUUUGAAAAAGUAAAAAAUAAUUAUUUUAAAUAUAACAAAAAGAAUCAAACGGAAUGAAAGUAAGUGUAAAAAUAUCAUUCCUUCUUAUUUUAUUCCUCUCUAUAUCUCUAUUCAUUUCCCCUCUCACCUUCUUCAUGUUACUUUCUCAGAUUUCGUGUAAUAAUAUAUUUAUGAAAUGUUACUAAAAAAUAAUAAAAAAGUUAACUUGUGUUAGUAAAUGAAACAUGAAAGUAGUACAUACCACACGUCUUUGAGAACUUUGUCGUGUUGCAUGAGAAAGAAGGAAAUCAUGGAGGCACCAUCUUCAUCUUCAUCUUCAUUAUUAUUUUCGACAAAGUAUUUAGCUAAAGGGUGAACACCAUACAAUCUUUCUUCGUUACAAUCUCCAUCAACUUGUUGAACGGAGCAUGUCAGAAUUUUAUAGCUAGAUAAAAGACGCAACAAUCUGUCCAACAUAGAAGGUGCUUCUGGAUUUUUUAUACCAGGAAUUUGAGAAGCAAUUUGAGAAGAUGAAAGGUAUGCAUUAGGACCAGAUUUGGCUAUAAUUUCAAUGAUGCCAAGUUCCAAAGCUGUUUUCAGAACCAUUGGAACAGAAGAAGCAAAUGAUAGUUCCAAAGCGAAAAGGAAAGCUUCUUCAUCUGAUACUUUCUCCAUUUUCUCAAUUACUCCUAUAUGC